Molecule: ribosomal RNA, 253 nt
Filed under: uncultured bacterium
Lineage: Bacteria
Description: partial 16S ribosomal RNA
Rfam family: Bacterial small subunit ribosomal RNA
Source: RNAcentral
UACGUAGGGUGCAAGCGUUGUCCGGAAUUAUUGGGCGUAAAGAGCUUGUAGGCGGUUUGUCGCGUCUGCUGUGAAAUUUCGGGGCUCAACCCCGAACUUGCAGUGGGUACGGGCAGACUAGAGUGUGGUAGGGGAGACUGGAAUUCCUGGUGUAGCGGUGAAAUGCGCAGAUAUCAGGAGGAACACCGGUGGCGAAGGCGGUGGUCUGGGCCGGCACUGACGCUGAGGAGCGAAAGCGUGGGGAGCAAACAGG